ACUAUGGCUUUUUUCAAAGCCAUUCUGAGAUAUANUGCCAUGCAA
This is a non-coding RNA of Hordeum vulgare subsp. vulgare (domesticated barley), 45 nucleotides long. The record is from Rfam. Lineage: Eukaryota; Viridiplantae; Streptophyta; Magnoliopsida; Poales; Poaceae.